Leptonychotes weddellii (Weddell seal) is the source of this 189-nucleotide non-coding RNA. The record is from RefSeq and is a predicted model, not a curated record. Lineage: Eukaryota; Metazoa; Chordata; Mammalia; Carnivora; Phocidae.
ACCUGAGCCGAAGGCAGACGACGCUUAACGACUGAGCCACCCAGGCGUCCCUCCCAGCUAUGUAGUUUAAAUGAAACUGAAUUCUGCAGUCCACUAGCUCGUUAUCUGAGGAGACUGGUUCAUGCUGCAAUUACCUGGGCUUGACUCCAGGCUGUGAGGGUUAUGCAGCAGAGACUGAAGCCUCUUGUC